GCUUGCUGCUUUGCUGACGAGUGGCGGACGGGUGAGUAAUGUCUGGGAAACUGCCUGAUGGAGGGGGAUAACUACUGGAAACGGUAGCUAAUACCGCAUAACGUCGCAAGACCAAAGAGGGGGACCUUCGGGCCUCUUGCCAUCGGAUGUGCCCAGAUGGGAUUAGCUAGUAGGUGGGGUAACGGCUCACCUAGGCGACGAUCCCUAGCUGGUCUGAGAGGAUGACCAGCCACACUGGAACUGAGACACGGUCCAGACUCCUACGGGAGGCAGCAGUGGGGAAUAUUGCACAAUGGGCGCAAGCCUGAUGCAGCCAUGCCGCGUGUAUGAAGAAGGCCUUCGGGUUGUAAAGUACUUUCAGCGGGGAGGAAGGCGAUAAGGUUAAUAACCUUGUCGAUUGACGUUACCCGCAGAAGAAGCACCGGCUAACUCCGUGCCAGCAGCCGCGGUAAUACGGAGGGUGCAAGCGUUAAUCGGAAUUACUGGGCGUAAAGCGCACGCAGGCGGUCUGUCAAGUCGGAUGUGAAAUCCCCGGGCUCAACCUGGGAACUGCAUUCGAAACUGGCAGGCUAGAGUCUUGUAGAGGGGGGUGGAAUUCCAGGUGUAGCGGUGAAAUGCGUAUAGAUCUGGAGGAAUACCGGUGGCGAAGGCGGCCCCCUGCACAAAGACUGACGCUCAGGUGCGAAAGCGUGAGGAGCAAACAGGAUUAGAUACCCUGGUAGUCCGCGCCGUAAACGAUGUCGACUUGGAGGUUGUGCCCUUGAGGCAUGGCUUCCGGGAGCUAACGCGUUAAGUCGACCG
RNAcentral lists this ribosomal RNA (801 nucleotides) under uncultured bacterium. RNAcentral's name for it is "bacterial SSU rRNA". It matches the Rfam family "Bacterial small subunit ribosomal RNA", at positions 78 to 871 of the family's 1533-position model. The record is from RNAcentral.